RNAcentral lists this long non-coding RNA (731 nucleotides) under Rattus norvegicus (Norway rat). RNAcentral describes it as "long non-coding RNA NONRATT013789". Lineage: Eukaryota; Metazoa; Chordata; Mammalia; Rodentia; Muridae. The record is from RNAcentral.
GUUAACAUUCCUUGUGCUGGCAGCUGAACCCAGUAAUGUGUAAGAGUCUCCCAGGUGGUAACGGUUACGGCUUGGCACUAGAAGAGGCCAUUGGUAAAGGUAAAGCCUCAGAUGCAGUGGAAACCCCAGAAUUGAAGGAUCAUGGAGAGAAGUUGAAGCUUAUACCAUAUUGCCAGAUCAGUCCACUGAAGACAGCUUAAAGAGAAGCUGUUGAUGAAAGUGCAGCUUGGUUCCAGCAGGGAUCCUGGUAUUUUGGAGAUGCCAGACCAUGAAGUGACAACCAAGGACAGCAGCAGCAAUGGAGUAGAGCCAACCUGAGCCUAGGAGACAAUCUUUAUUUGCUGCUUGUGGUAGAACAAGAGAAUUAGAACUGCUUAGGCCUUCUGGAGCCCAGCAGGUCAUGACUGAAUCCCAGGUACACUGUUGGACUUUGAUUCUGCUUUGAUUCGAUUGUAACUGUCCCCUGGCUGUUCCUGAAUAAGAAGUACAUAACUCAAUCUUUAAUUUACUAUGGGAGGAUCCAUGGGAUCCUCCAUGGAUAGUAAAGAGGCUUUGAAAUUUUAGAGAAACAAUGCAUAUUUUAGGGAGACUUUGGAUUUUUUUUUUUUUUUUUUUGGUUUUUUUUUGGUUCUUUUUUUUUUUCGGAGCUGGGGACCGAACCCAGGGCCUUGCGCUUCCUAGGCAAGCGCUCUACCACUGAGCUAAAUCCCCAACCCCGACUUUGGAUGUUU